Molecule: ribosomal RNA, 253 nt
Filed under: uncultured bacterium
Lineage: Bacteria
Description: partial 16S ribosomal RNA
Rfam family: Bacterial small subunit ribosomal RNA
Source: RNAcentral
UACAGAGGGGGCAAGCGUUAUUCGGAAUUAUUGGGCGUAAAGGGCGCGUAGGCGGCUUGGCAAGUGGAUGGUGAAAUCCCUCGGCUUAACCGAGGAACUGCCCUCCAAACUGUUUGGCUUGAGACCGGGAGAGGUGAGUGGAAUUCCCAGUGUAGCGGUGAAAUGCGUAGAUAUUGGGAGGAACACCAGUGGCGAAGGCGGCUCACUGGACCGGUACUGACGCUGAGGCGCGAAAGCGUGGGGAGCAAACGGG